Molecule: long non-coding RNA, 2069 nt
Organism: Marmota monax (woodchuck)
Lineage: Eukaryota; Metazoa; Chordata; Mammalia; Rodentia; Sciuridae
Exons: 2
Source: RefSeq, a predicted model, not a curated record
AGCGGCCACCAUCUUGGAGAGCUGAAGUAACCACUGCCACUCUCCCACAGAUUGCAACAAUAAAACAGGUGCGUGUUACUCAGCUCCUCUCCCAUACAGCGGGGAAUUGGCAAAAAAUCUCUCCUAGGCUCUCCAGGGGAGGGAUUAUCAGAGCAAGCCUGCAUAAAGACGCGGGGAGAACUAGAGACACCCGACCUUCAACUCCCCCUCCCAUCAGCAGGGAAAACGAAACCUGUAUUGCCAGCGCGGGGGGAGGGGCAAGCUGAAAAAAUCAAAACAAUAGAGUGCCGGGGGGUUUUCAAUAGCCACCCUCCACACCCAACAAACGGCAGGCCCAGAGUACAGUUUGAACUGCCGAGAGGCAUCACUCAGGGGAAAACUAGUCUAGCAGGAGAAACCAGGACUAGCAGGAGAAACCAGGGGAAUAGAGGCCAGGCCCUCGCGACUGGGCAGCUGGAUAAACUCCACCCGCUGCCCGCGAGACUGGGUGGCUGGAGUCCUCCCCCCGCCUUUGACCCACUGCGCGUCUGGGCAGCUAGAGAUUGCCCGCCUACCAGCAACAGCCGGCCCAUUACCCCUGCGACUGGGUGGCUGGAGACCGCACGCCCGCCUGCGACAGCCAGCCCAUUGCCCCUGUGUCUGGGUGGCUAGAGAUCGCCCGCCCACCAGCGACAGCCAGCCCAUUGCCCCUGCGACUGAGCAGCUGGAAACCGCACGCCUGCUGAUGAAGUGUACCUAUACAAAUAGCAGACAGCAUGGGGUUCGUGGAAGUUGCAAAGCUGGCCUGGAAAAGUGAAGUUUUCUGGACUUAGCCUCCUUUGUCACUAAGUUUGUAGACAUGUGCUGUAGUGCCUGGCCUUCAUAUGUAUCUUUGUAUGUAUUUUGAACAGAAAGUUCUUUCCUUGCUGUUGCUGCUGCUUUGUCUUUUCCUUCUUUUCUUGUGUGUGUGUGUGUGUGUGUGUGUGUGUGUGUGGGAGGGGGUUCAUCAUUUCAAUGUCUUUUUCCCACACUGAGAUAAUAAAUGCAUUCAGAUUUGUUGUCUUUGAGGAGAGUAAAAUGUGUACAUUUAAAUUUCUGACUAUAUCUGUCAUCAUUCAGCCAGGAUAUUCAGAAAUAUACAUAGAUAUUGGUCUUAGCAUCUAGGUUAAGGCUACUGUCACAUGGUAUACAGCAGUAAUGGCUACCUCAUCAUAUACAGAUGAGCAUCAUCCUCCAAUAUUAGCCCAAUGACUUGUAGCAUAUGCCAAAGCUGAAGUUUUCACUCAGUGCUAUAAGGGAGCAGAGUACCUCAGCAGAGGAAGUGGCACCAAAGAGAUGGAAAGGCUUAAAGGAUAUUCAUUUGGAUUUUGAAGUCUAGCAUAGGAGGGGAUCUUUUAAGGGUUUGGGAUUGGGAAGGAAUUGUGAUGUAAUGAUUCAAGGUUGUUGGACACAGGGAAGCUCAGAGUUUUUAAUUUAUUUGUAAUUGACCCUUAUUAUUUGUGUGUUUAUGGGAUAUAACAUGAUAUUUCAGUAUGUAUGUAUAUCAUGUGUAAUAAUCAAAUCAGGGUAAAUAGCAUUUCCUUCACCGCAAUGAUUUAUCCAUUCUUUGUAUGGGAAAGUUUCAAAAUCUAUCUGCUAAUAAUUCUGAAAUACACAGCCAAUUGUUAACUAUACUCACCCUAGUCUGUUAUAGUACUCUGGAAUGUAUCCCUUCUAUCUAACUGUAUUUUGGUGGCCAAUAUCCACCUUCUGUCUGUCACCUUCCCUUCUUCUCCUCUCAGCCUCUGCUGACCUCUGUUCUCCUCUCCACUUCUAUGAGGUCAACUUUCUAAGCAUCCACAUGUUGAAGAGGACAUGUAGCACAAGUGUUUCUGUAAUGAAGAUGCAGCUUUUGAAACACAAGUUUGAAAGAAUGUUGGGGUGAAAAAAUGUCACUUGACACUUUUGUUUGUGGAGUGAUGGGCCUUUCCUGCAGCUGGUGAAAUGAACAAUGAAGUUUUGGGGAACUUUACUUUCCUGGGUAAGAGAUUCCUGCAUUAGUAUAGUUAUGUUAAUGUAACCAGUGGCAUAUAAACUCUGGUUUAUGUGAA